This 460-nucleotide ribosomal RNA is filed under the name uncultured bacterium. RNAcentral describes it as "partial 16S ribosomal RNA". It matches the Rfam family "Bacterial small subunit ribosomal RNA", at positions 338 to 795 of the family's 1533-position model. The record is from RNAcentral.
CCUACGGGUGGCAGCAGUGAGGAAUAUUGGUCAAUGGACGCAAGUCUGAACCAGCCAUGCCGCGUGCAGGAAGACGGCUCUAUGAGUGGUAAACUGCUUUUGUACGAGGGUAAACGCAGAUACGCGUAUCUGUCUGAAAGUAUCGUACGAAUAAGGAUCGGAUAACUCCGUGCCAUCAGACGCUGUAAUAAGGAGGAUUCAAGCGUUAUCCGGAUUUAUAGGGUUUAAAGGGUGCGUAGGCGGUCGGGUAAGUUAGAGGUGAAAUCACUAGGCUCAACUUCGGAAUUGCAGCUGAUACGGUUCGGAUAGAGAGUAGUAGCGGUAUGCGGAAUUCAUGGUGUAGCGGUGAAAUGCUUAGAGAUCAUACAGAACACCGAUUGCGAAGGCAGCUUACCAAGCUACUUCUGACGUUGAGGCACGAAAGCGUGGGGAGCAAACAGGAUUAGAUACCCUGGUAGUC